CUCUGUUUUCAGGGAGCCUAAAAUCUCCUUUUUCUUGUAGCACUUGCAACAUUUAAUUAAAAGAUACUGUUCUGCCUUGGUGAGCUCCUAAUCCAGCAAUGGAGAAAUGAUAUUGAUAAUGUGCAAGAAAGGCACUCAGAUUCCCAUUUUUUCAUCCUGAAAGCAGAAGAUGAAACUCUCAGGUGAGAACUGCGCUUCCAGUGCCGAGAGGAAAGAAACAGCACCAGAGAAGCACUUGAGUCUGGAAGAAUUUGCACAUGGAGACCUUGUUAAAGCCCUGCCCACCAGAGACCCUAAGGAGG
Neomonachus schauinslandi (Hawaiian monk seal) is the source of this 302-nucleotide long non-coding RNA. RefSeq lists it as uncharacterized. The record is from RefSeq and is a predicted model, not a curated record. Lineage: Eukaryota; Metazoa; Chordata; Mammalia; Carnivora; Phocidae. The transcript is spliced from 3 exons.